This 1646-nucleotide long non-coding RNA is filed under the name Dendronephthya gigantea. RNAcentral describes it as "uncharacterized LOC114525639". Lineage: Eukaryota; Metazoa; Cnidaria; Anthozoa; Malacalcyonacea; Nephtheidae. The record is from RNAcentral.
UGAAAAGAAAUUAUUUUGAAAGAAAAAGUGUUCAUUUACGCCGAUAUUUUUCAUCAUGCUCCAAUAUUUCUCUAUGGAUUCACUUAUUAUGAAAUGAGGAACGUCUAGUUCAAUUUUUAAUGUAAAAUGUGUAUUUAAAGGAAUGAAAUUUUGUGAAAGAAUUUGACAGUGACAUGUUUAUAGUCGAAAUGGGAAAGAAGCUUUUCCAUUCCAAUCCACAGCAAGGCGAUCCAUGUUGGCGAUAAAAUCCUGACGUGAUGCGGUGUCAAAAUCCACAUUUAUCAUGAUUGGUUUAAGGCCAUUCACUGGAGGAUGCCGAAAGCAGAACUCAAUGAUCCUGUCGUUCCCUUUGAUAUGUGCAUUUAAUUCUUGAUCAUUGUGAUCCGCUAACAAGCAAAGAAGGACGAUACCACCUCGACGCGUCCAUUCUGAUGUCCACUGUUUAAAAUCAUUCUUUGUGGACUGGGAAAGAUGGGCAUUAUAAUACCUGUCAUCUACAACAUCCCCCAAACUGCCUGGCGGUGGCUUCGUUUGAACUGCGUUGCAAAAGGUUCUCAUAUCUGGUGAUGAAGACCGAUUGUGUAUGACAACCAGGCGUAUUCCAUCAACUGAUGUAUCACUGGUAGACUGAGAUUGACCCAUUGCUGGUUAAAAGAAUGCAUUGGUUGUUAGCCUUAUCAAAAAAGAUACCUUGGGUUAUCAAGACUGCGAAGGAUUCUUUGAUUCAUCAAAGUUCUGUCGCGGAGAAGUUUACAAAAGUACUGGCUGUUGUCUGUGGGGCAAGUUACAUUACAAAGACAACCCAUCGUAAAAUAACUGAUAAAGUUAACUACUGCUAAUUACUCCUGUCAAAGAACUCCUGGAAAAGAAAAAUUGAAUCUAACGAUCAAGCAUUUCCAAUGAUGACUUCGGAGUAACGAGAGAGAUACCAAAUAUUGAUCAAAUACAUCAAAUAUCAAUGGAUAUCUUAGUCAAAUCUGCCAGAAAGCUUGGUUCAUAAGCAUUCUAACACAUCCAUAAGCCGCCUGGUUGACGGCUAUUUCAGUCAGAUCUGUCAAAACAUCCAGUUGAUACUCAGUCAGUAAAUCAGGAUGUCAAGUAUUGACUUAACAAGACCAGCAGGCGCUGAAAAGCACCUGCUCUUCUGCAAAUUUCUCGAAAAAUUUCAAGUCACAGAAACCCCAUUUAACGGACACUAUUUAGAAUUCUGAUAUGUGGUAAAUGCUGUAGAGGAAAAUGGAAAAGAUUUAGAUGGAAAGAAUUCUACGUAUGCAUGAGUGCAUUUUCCAUAAUAAUAAGUAGUAAUAAUAUUCCUCCUUGAACAAUUAUCCUCCGAGUUUAAAAUAACCACUGUUUCCGUCAUACUAAAUCUAUUUGACCUGCACUUAUCAAGACGUCUUGUUUGUGUCUAAUUAAUCACGCUGAACAUUUUCUACGCUUCUGUGUGUAUGGAGUGAUCGUGGUUGUCAGUUUUCGUUAUAGUGCGUUAAUUAUGUUAAUUUCAUGGUCAUGACCCCCGCGGGGGGUCGUAUCAUCGUUCAUCUAAUAUCAUUCAACGACACUCAACAUCGUUGACUAUUGUCGAACAUUCUUCAACAUCCCUCAACAUCCUCUAACCUCGUUCACAACUGUUCAGCAUCAUUCAC